UGACUUCCAAGUUAAAUAUUGGCCUCUAGU
Molecule: non-coding RNA, 30 nt
Filed under: Mus musculus (house mouse)
Lineage: Eukaryota; Metazoa; Chordata; Mammalia; Rodentia; Muridae
Source: RNAcentral